RNAcentral lists this ribosomal RNA (497 nucleotides) under uncultured bacterium. RNAcentral describes it as "partial 16S ribosomal RNA". It matches the Rfam family "Bacterial small subunit ribosomal RNA", at positions 28 to 507 of the family's 1533-position model. The record is from RNAcentral.
GAUGAACGCUGGCGGCGUGCCUAAUACAUGCAAGUCGAGCGAACGGACGAGAAGCUUGCUUCUCUGAUGUUAGCGGCGGACGGGUGAGUAACACGUGGAUAACCUACCUAUAAGACUGGGAUAACUUCGCGAAACCGGAGCUAAUACCGGAUAAUAUUUUGAACCGCAUGGUUCAAAAGUAAAAGACGGUCUUGCUGUCACUUAUAGAUGGAUCCGCGCUGCAUUAGCUAGUUGGUAAGGUAACGGCUUACCAAGGCAACGAUGCAUAGCCGACCUGAGAGAGUGAUCGGCCACCCUGGAACUGAGGAACGGUCCAGACUCCUACGGGAGGCAGCAGUAGGGAAUCUUCCGCAAUGCGCGAAAGCCUAACGGAGCGACGCCGCGUGAGUGAUGAAGAUCUUCGGAUCGGAAAACUCUGUUGUUAGGGAAGAACAUAUGUGUAAGUAACUGUGCACAUCUUGACGGUACCUAAUCAGAAAGCCCCGGCUAACUACGUG